UUUGAUUUAAUAAAUGCUUUUCGUAUCUAAACCGUACUAAACUGAACAAAUCCCAUGCAUGCAUCACUUCGUGAACACUCUUGGAUUCUUUUGAGAAUUUUUCCUGUUGAACGGUGUGGGAGACCGUGCAAUUCAUUCACUGAGACCAACACCCAGACCAACCCCUUUGAUGUAUUUAAAAGGUACUUCAACGUCCUCAAUUCACACAUACGUUGCCUCUCACAGUCUCAAUUUCCCUUUGUUCAACAUACCUCUUUCCAUUAUCUGUAAAAAUGUGGCAUGCCAAUCCGGGGUUGUCACGA
This 302-nucleotide long non-coding RNA is filed under the name Phaseolus vulgaris (common bean). Its description in RNAcentral is "long non-coding RNA (PVUL_LNC000382)". The record is from RNAcentral. Lineage: Eukaryota; Viridiplantae; Streptophyta; Magnoliopsida; Fabales; Fabaceae.